This 492-nucleotide ribosomal RNA is filed under the name uncultured bacterium. RNAcentral describes it as "partial 16S ribosomal RNA". It matches the Rfam family "Bacterial small subunit ribosomal RNA", at positions 29 to 507 of the family's 1533-position model. The record is from RNAcentral.
AGUGAACGCUGGCGGUAGGCCUAACACAUGCAAGUCGAACGGCAGCACAGUAAGAGCUUGCUCUUACGGGUGGCGAGUGGCGGACGGGUGAGGAAUACAUCGGAAUCUACUUUUUCGUGGGGGAUAACGUAGGGAAACUUACGCUAAUACCGCAUACGACCUACGGGUGAAAGCAGGGGAUCUUCGGACCUUGCGCGAUUGAAUGAGCCGAUGUCGGAUUAGCUAGUUGGCGGGGUAAAGGCCCACCAAGGCGACGAUCCGUAGCUGGUCUGAGAGGAUGAUCAGCCACACUGGGACUGAGACACGGUCCAGACUCCUACGGGAGGCAGCAGUGGGGAAUAUUGGGCAAUGGGCGGAAGCCUGAUCCAGCCAUGCCGCGUGGGUGAAGAAGGCCUUCGGGUUGUAAAACCCUUUUGUUGGGAAAGAAAAGCAGCAGGUUAAUACCCCGCUGUUCUGACGGUACCCAAAGAAUAAGCACCGGCUAACUUCGUG